RNAcentral lists this ribosomal RNA (726 nucleotides) under uncultured archaeon. Its description in RNAcentral is "bacterial SSU rRNA". It matches the Rfam family "Archaeal small subunit ribosomal RNA", at positions 42 to 774 of the family's 1478-position model. The record is from RNAcentral.
UACUAAGCCAUGCGAGUCAUUGUAGCAAUACAAGGCAGACGGCUCAGUAACACGUAGUCAAUCUACCCUGUGGACGGGGAUAACCUCGGGAAACUGAGAAUAAUACCCGAUAGAUCAUUAUGCCUGGAAUGGUUUAUGGUUCAAAUGAUUUAUCGCCAUAGGAUGGGACUGCGGCCUAUCAGUUUGUUGGUGAGGUAAUGGCCCACCAAGACUAUUACAGGUACGGGCUCUGAGAGGAGAAGCCCGGAGAUGGGUACUGAGACACGGACCCAGGUCCUAUGGGGCGCAGCAGGCGAGAAAACUUUGCAAUGUGCGAAAGCACGACAAGGUUAAUCCGAGUGUUUUCUGCUAAAGAAAUCUUUUGUCAGUCUUAAAACCACUGAUGAAUAAGGGGUGGGCAAGUCCUGGUGUCAGCCGCCGCGGUAAUACCAGCACCUCAAGUGGUCAGGAGGAUUAUUGGGCCUAAAGCAUCCGUAGCCGGCUUUGUGAGUUUUCGGUUAAAUCUAUAUGCUUAACAUAUAGGCUGCCGGAAAUACUGCAUAGCUAAGGAGUGGGAGAGGUAGACGGUACUUGAUAGGAAGGGGUAAAAUCCUUUGAUCUAUUGAUGACCACCUGUGGCGAAGGCGGUCUACCAGAACACGUCCGACGGUGAGGGAUGAAAGCUGGGGGAGCAAACCGGAUUAGAUACCCGGGUAGUCCCAGCUGUAAACAAUGCAAACUCAGUGA